UAGUGGCGAACGGGUGAGUAACACGUGGGCAAUCUGCCCUUCACUCUGGGACAAGCCCUGGAAACGGGGUCUAAUACCGGAUAACACUGCGGAUCGCAUGGUCUGCGGUUAAAAGCUCCGGCGGUGAAGGAUGAGCCCGCGGCCUAUCAGCUUGUUGGUGAGGUAGUGGCUCACCAAGGCGACGACGGGUAGCCGGCCUGAGAGGGCGACCGGCCACACUGGGACUGAGACACGGCCCAGACUCCUACGGGAGGCAGCAGUGGGGAAUAUUGCACAAUGGGCGAAAGCCUGAUGCAGCGACGCCGCGUGAGGGAUGACGGCCUUCGGGUUGUAAACCUCUUUCAGCAGGGAAGAAGCGAAAGUGACGGUACCUGCAGAAGAAGCGCCGGCUAACUACGUGCCAGCAGCCGCGGUAAUACGUAGGGCGCAAGCGUUGUCCGGAAUUAUUGGGCGUAAAGAGCUCGUAGGCGGCUUGUCACGUCGAUUGUGAAAGCCCGAGGCUUAACCUCGGGUCUGCAGUCGAUACGGGCUAGCUAGAGUGGGGUAGGGGAGAUCGGAAUUCCU
Molecule: ribosomal RNA, 564 nt
Filed under: Streptomyces sp. 415F03
Lineage: Bacteria; Bacillati; Actinomycetota; Actinomycetes; Kitasatosporales; Streptomycetaceae
Description: bacterial SSU rRNA
Rfam family: Bacterial small subunit ribosomal RNA
Source: RNAcentral